RNAcentral lists this ribosomal RNA (389 nucleotides) under uncultured bacterium. RNAcentral describes it as "bacterial SSU rRNA". It matches the Rfam family "Bacterial small subunit ribosomal RNA", at positions 28 to 417 of the family's 1533-position model. The record is from RNAcentral.
GACGAACGCUGGCGGCGUGCUUAACACAUGCAAGUCGAGCGGUAAGGCCCUUUCGGGGGUACACGAGCGGCGAACGGGUGAGUAACACGUGGGUGACCUGCCCUUAGCUCUGGGAUAAGCCUGGGAAACUGGGUCUAAUACCGGAUAUGACUCCAUGACGCAUGUUGUGGGGUGGAAAGCCUUGUGCGGCUAGGGAUGGGCCUGCGGCCUAUCAGCUUGUUGGUGGGGUGAUGGCCUACCAAGGCGACGACGGGUAGCCGGCCUGAGAGGGCGACCGGCCACACUGGGGACUGAGACACGGCCCAGACUCCUACGGGAGGCAGCAGUGGGGAAUCUUGCGCAAUGGGCGAAAGCCUGACGCAGCGACGCCGCGUGGGGGAUGACGGCCU